Molecule: ribosomal RNA, 194 nt
Filed under: uncultured Lactobacillus sp.
Lineage: Bacteria; Bacillati; Bacillota; Bacilli; Lactobacillales; Lactobacillaceae
Description: partial 16S ribosomal RNA
Rfam family: Bacterial small subunit ribosomal RNA
Source: RNAcentral
CCUACGGGAGGCAGCAGUAGGGAAUCUUCCACAAUGGACGCAAGUCUGAUGGAGCAAUGCCGCGUGAGUGAAGAAGGGUUUCGGCUCGUAAAACUCUGUUGUUGAAGAAGAACGGGUGUCAGAGUAACUGUUGACAUCGUGACGGUAUUCAACCUGAAAGCCACGGCUAACUACGUGCCAGCAGCCGCGGUAAU